RNAcentral lists this ribosomal RNA (545 nucleotides) under uncultured bacterium. RNAcentral describes it as "partial 16S ribosomal RNA". It matches the Rfam family "Bacterial small subunit ribosomal RNA", at positions 355 to 891 of the family's 1533-position model. The record is from RNAcentral.
UGGGGAAUAUUGCACAAUGGGCGCAAGCCUGAUGCAGCCAUGCCGCGUGUGUGAAGAGGCCUUCGGGUUGUAAAGCACUUUCAGCGAGGAGGAAGGUGGUGAGCUUAAUACGCUCAUCAAUUGACGUUACUCGCAGAAGAAGCACCGGCUAACUCCGUGCCAGCAGCCGCGGUAAUACGGAGGGUGCAAGCGUUAAUCGGAAUUACUGGGCGUAAAGCGCACGCAGGCGGUUUGUUAAGUCAGAUGUGAAAUCCCCGGGCUCAACCUGGGAACUGCAUUUGAAACUGGCAAGCUAGAGUCUCGUAGAGGGGGGUAGAAUUCCAGGUGUAGCGGUGAAAUGCGUAGAGAUCUGGAGGAAUACCGGUGGCGAAGGCGGCCCCCUGGACGAAGACUGACGCUCAGGUGCGAAAGCGUGGGGCAGCAAACAGGAUUAGAUACCCUGGUAGUCCACGCUGUAAACGAUGUCGAUUUUGGAGGUUGUGCCCUUGAGGCGUGGCUUCCGGAGCUAACGCGUUAAAUCGACCGCCUGGGGAGUACGGCCGCAA